This 408-nucleotide long non-coding RNA is filed under the name Triticum aestivum (bread wheat). RNAcentral's name for it is "long non-coding RNA (TAES_LNC002347)". Lineage: Eukaryota; Viridiplantae; Streptophyta; Magnoliopsida; Poales; Poaceae. The record is from RNAcentral.
AAAUGCACGUACGCCACGACACCACACCACACGACGGAUGCAGCCCUUCAUCACCACUAGCAUAGCAGACAGCUUCUUCCUCCUACGCACGACGUAUGUUUGUAUAUACUGUUAGUUUUAAAUAGCGCGCUAAGCAUUUUAGCGGCGGACUUCUUCCAAAUGCUAUAGCGUGCUAUAGCGGAGCUAUAGCGCGCUAUUUAAAAUGUUUGUUUAUUUGUUUGAACCAAAGUCUCUUAGCGCAAGACCUUUUAUAAACGCUAUAGCGUGCUAUAGCGGGCUAUUUAAAACAGUGAGUGUUAUGUAGCUUCCUUGCUCAUGAUUUAGUGUAGGAUUGCAUUGGGGGAGGCUCGGGCAGGGGCUGGUGGACGGAGAAGGAGUUGGACCGGGACACGGGCCGGGAGUAGCUGG